CGCCGAAGGUGGGGCUAAUGACUGGGGUGAAGUCGUAACAAGGUAGCCGUACCGGAAGGUGCGGCUGGAUCACCUCCUAACAGGGAGACAACAAAAUGUUCAAUAUUAUUAUUUUGUCACCUUAGGUCGAUCGGUAUCUCACGUUUUUAAUUUAUUAAGAAUUUCAUUUCCUAAGUUUUUCUAGGUCACACCCAUUAUUUUUCCUGGGCCAUUAGCUCAGGUGGUUAGAGCGCACCCCUGAUAAGGGUGAGGUCCCUGGUUCAAGUCCAGGAUGGCCCAUAUCUCUAUGUUGGGGGUAUAGCUCAGUUGGUAGAGCGCCUGCUUUGCAAGCAGGAUGUCAGCGGUUCGAGUCCGCUUACCUCCACUGAUUACCACCUCUUCCAUAUUCUUUAGAAAGGAAAUGUUUUGAGUUGUGAUCAAAUUCUGAACGAAUCUAGCUUCCUAAUGAAAUCAUUAAGAUGCUGGACUCAUUGAAUUUAAUUCAUUGUUUUCAGAGAACCUUGACAACUGCAUAGAUUAUUUUUAAAGACAAUAAGCAUCUUUAAUGAUGCAGAUUUAUUAUUUGUGCGAAUGCAUUAAUAACAAUUCUAUUAAGCUGAUGCUUCAAUUUUGAAGUUAUUGGUCAAGCUACAAAGGGCUCACGGAGGAUACCUAGGCACACAGAGGCGAUGA
This 672-nucleotide unclassified non-coding RNA is filed under the name uncultured Prochlorococcus sp. RNAcentral's name for it is "partial may contain 16S ribosomal RNA, 16S-23S ribosomal RNA intergenic spacer, and 23S ribosomal RNA". The stretch from base 292 to 364 matches the Rfam family "tRNA". Lineage: Bacteria; Bacillati; Cyanobacteriota; Cyanophyceae; Synechococcales; Prochlorococcaceae. The record is from RNAcentral.